RNAcentral lists this ribosomal RNA (389 nucleotides) under uncultured Nitrospina sp. RNAcentral describes it as "bacterial SSU rRNA". It matches the Rfam family "Bacterial small subunit ribosomal RNA", at positions 29 to 410 of the family's 1533-position model. The record is from RNAcentral. Lineage: Bacteria; Pseudomonadati; Nitrospinota; Nitrospinia; Nitrospinales; Nitrospinaceae.
AACGAACGCUGGCGGUGUGCUUAACACAUGCAAGUCGAACGAGAAAGUUUCCUUCGGGAAGCGAGUAAAGUGGCGCAAGGGUGAGUAACACGUGAAUAAUCUGCCCCCGAGACUGGGAUAACCUGGUGAAAACUAGGCUAAUACCGGAUAAGACCACGUCCCGCAAGGGAUGCGGGAAAAGGAGGCUCAACCUCCACUUGGGGAUGAGUUCGCGGACCAUUAGCUUGUUGGUGAGAUAACAGCUCACCAAGGCUACGAUGGUUAGCCGGCCUGAGAGGGUGAACGGCCACACUGGAACUGAGACACGGUCCAGACUCCUACGGGAGGCAGCAGUGGGGAAUUUUGCGCAAUGGACGAAAGUCUGAACCAGCCAUGCCGCGUGCAGGAUG